This 502-nucleotide ribosomal RNA is filed under the name uncultured bacterium. RNAcentral's name for it is "bacterial SSU rRNA". It matches the Rfam family "Bacterial small subunit ribosomal RNA", at positions 29 to 518 of the family's 1533-position model. The record is from RNAcentral.
AUGAACGCUAGCGACAGGCUUAACACAUGCAAGUCGAGGGGUAACAGGGUAGCAAUACCGCUGACGACCGGCGCACGGGUGAGUAACGCGUAUGCAACCUGCCUAUAACUGGGGAAUAGCGUCCCUGAAAGGGGGAAUUAACACCGCAUAACACUAUUGAUUCGCAUGGAUUGGUAGUUAAAUGUAAGCGAUACAGGUUAUAGAUGGGCAUGCGUGACAUUAGCUAGUUGGUGAGGUAACGGCUCACCAAGGCUACGAUGUCUAGGGGUUCUGAGAGGAAGGUCCCCCCACACUGGUACUGAGACACGGACCAGACUCCUACGGGAGGCAGCAGUGAGGAAUAUUGGUCAAUGGGCGCAAGCCUGAACCAGCCAUGUCGCGUGCAGGAAGAACCUGCCCUAUGGGUUGUAAACUGCUUUUAUAGUAGAAGAAACACAUCUACGUGUAGAUGUCUGCCAGUAUACUAUGAAUAAGCAUCGGCUAACUCCGUGCCAGCCGCCGC